Molecule: ribosomal RNA, 253 nt
Filed under: uncultured bacterium
Lineage: Bacteria
Description: partial 16S ribosomal RNA
Rfam family: Bacterial small subunit ribosomal RNA
Source: RNAcentral
UACGUAGGGGGCAAGCGUUGUCCGGAUUUAUUGGGCGUAAAGAGCGUGUAGGCGGCCAGGGAGGUCCGUUGUGAAAACUCGAGGCUCAACCUCGAGACGCCGAUGGAAACCCCCUGGCUAGAGUCCGGAAGAGGAGAAUGGAACUCCUAGUGUAGAGGUGGAAUUCGUAGAUAUUAGGAAGAACACCAGUGGCGAAGGCGGCUCACUGGUCCGGUACUGACGCUGAGGUGCGAAAGCGUGGGGAGCAAACAGG